AGAGUUUGAUCAUGGCUCAGAACGAACGCUGGCGGCAGGCUUAACACAUGCAAGUCGAACGAUCCUUCGGGAUAGUGGCAGACGGGUGAGUAACGCGUGGGAACCUACCUAAUAGUACGGAAUAGCCUCGGGAAACUGGGAAUAAUACCGUAUACGCCCCUAAGUUGUGGAGAUUUAGGGGGAAAGAUUUAUCGCUAUUAGAUGGGCCCGCGUUAGAUUAGAUAGUUGGUGGGGUAACGGCCUACCAAGUCUACGAUCUAUAGCUGGUCUGAGAGGAUGAU
Molecule: ribosomal RNA, 281 nt
Filed under: uncultured Hyphomicrobiaceae bacterium
Lineage: Bacteria; Pseudomonadati; Pseudomonadota; Alphaproteobacteria; Hyphomicrobiales; Hyphomicrobiaceae
Description: partial 16S ribosomal RNA
Rfam family: Bacterial small subunit ribosomal RNA
Source: RNAcentral